UGAGGAAUUUUGGUCAAUGGACGGAAGUCUGAACCAGCCAAGUCGCGUGAAGGAAGGCGGCCCUAAGGGUUGUAAACUUCUUUUGUAAGGGAAUAAAGUGCGUUACGUGUAGUGCAUUGCAAGUACCUUACGAAUAAGGAUCGGCUAACUCCGUGCCAGCAGCCGCGGUAAUACGGAGGAUCCGAGCGUUAUCCGGAUUUAUUGGGUUUAAAGGGUGCGCAGGCGGGGGAUUAGGUCGGCGGUGAAAUAUCAGGGCUCAACCUUGAGAGUGCCGUCGAAACCGGUUUUCUUGAGUGCGGAUGAAGUAGGCGGAAUUUGUGGUGUAGCGGUGAAAUGCGUAGAUAUCACAAAGAACACCGAUUGCGGAGGCAGCUUACUAAACCGCAACUGACGCUCAUGCACGAAGGCGUGGGGAUCAAACAGG
RNAcentral lists this ribosomal RNA (424 nucleotides) under uncultured bacterium. RNAcentral's name for it is "bacterial SSU rRNA". It matches the Rfam family "Bacterial small subunit ribosomal RNA", at positions 355 to 776 of the family's 1533-position model. The record is from RNAcentral.